RNAcentral lists this ribosomal RNA (440 nucleotides) under uncultured bacterium. Its description in RNAcentral is "partial 16S ribosomal RNA". It matches the Rfam family "Bacterial small subunit ribosomal RNA", at positions 338 to 795 of the family's 1533-position model. The record is from RNAcentral.
CCUACGGGGGGCAGCAGUAGGGAAUUUUGCGCAAUGGGCAAAAGCCUGACGCAGCAACGCCGCGUGAUCGAGACGCCCUUCGGGGUGGAAAGAUCUGUCAGUGGGGACGAAACUUGACGGUACCCACAGAUGAAGCACCGGCUAACUCCGUGCCAGCAGCCGCGGUAAUACGGGGGGUGCAAGCGUUGUCCGGAAUCAUUGGGCGUAAGGAGUUCGUAGGCGGCACGUAAAGUCUGGUGUGAAAGGCAGAGGCUCAACUUCUGUACGGCACUGGAUACUUGCGAGCUAGAAUGCGGUAGAGGUAAAGGGAAUUCCUGGUGUAGCGGUGAAAUGCUUAGAUAUCAGGAGGAACAUCAGUGGCGUAAGCGCUUUACUGGGCCGUAAUUGACGCUGAGGAACGAAAGCCAGGGUAGCAAAUGGGAUUAGAUACCCUUGUAGUC